AUCGUAGGAUUAAUCUUAGGCCUCCAUCGUUGAGUUAAAAGGGAAUCCGGUGUGAAUCCGGAGCUGUCGCGCAGCGGUAUGGGGAAAGCACGGCGAGUGCAUUACGAUUUAUCCACAAAAUAACAAUGCAAACACUGUCCUUAUAUAAGGAUGGGAAGUUAUCGCCCGGCGUUGUUUCUAUUCUCGAUGAAAACAACGGAUCCCAAGCCCGAAGACCUGCCUGAAUUACGUCGCAUUU
This 238-nucleotide non-coding RNA is filed under the name Serratia sp. (in: enterobacteria). Lineage: Bacteria; Pseudomonadati; Pseudomonadota; Gammaproteobacteria; Enterobacterales; Yersiniaceae. The record is from RNAcentral.